CUGAGAGGGGAUGCUGGGGUGUUUCCAACCCUCCCUGCUACAAGGAGCAUCCCAUGAGAGCGUCUUCUCUAUUGAAAGGAAAGAAGAACCCCCUGAGGACUGAGCCUUUUCCCCUCUGGUGCCUGGGGUCGGAGCUGCCUGAGCAGGGUGUGCUGGGCUCCCUCUUGCCCUUCCCUGUCUCCAGACCCGUGCCAGGCCCAUUUGGGGGUGCCCAGUGUCACUGCGGACACCAGCACAGCAGUGUCCUGGCCAUUUUGGGCUGCUGUCGAAGCUCAUCCUGCUGUGCGUGGGCUACACGGGCUCCAGAGACACGCUCUUGUGGGGAGAAGGUGGCACUGAGACCGACCCCAGGGCUGCUCCAAGGUACCCAGGGCUUCUCAGCCAUUUGUCUCACCAACACGGGCAGGACAAGGGUGGUCUACAGGCAAAGAUGGUCUGCAGGGUCUGAACAUCCCUCCACAGCUUGGGAGGAAACUGAGUCUUGUCAACUUCUUCUGGAGGGGCAGAGAGGCUGUGGGGUUGGGCUGAGCUAGGGUACCACGACAGAGGGAAGAAGGAAGAGGCCACAUGAGCCCAUCCCACUGCAGAAGAGCUCAAGUGUGAUAGAAAUGUCCAGACUGUGUAAAUUCUCCCAGCGCGGUGCUUACCCUCAGUGCUCAGUAAACAAACAACAAUAAAACAAUGCAGAUGUUUUGUGCAUAAGGUAAUAGAGUGGUAGGUCUCUUGAGUCAAAUCUGGAAGCAGUUUAACCAGGCUCCUUGGAGCAGUGGCUCUGUGUUGCAGAGCACCAUGGUGCUAUUCACAUGAUUUUUAAUGCAAUAAAAUUACACAAUAAUGCAAUACAAUAAUAAUAAAUUAGAACAGAGACAGUUCUCAGACAUAGCAAAUGAGGAAAGGCAAGGUUUCACUCUUGCAAUCCCAACUCAUCCAUAACCCUAGGCAAAAUACUAGAUUUUUCAAAGCAGCCUUGCUAUUAUUAUAUUUUUCUUUCUUUCAUGUGCCUUUUUAGGCCACUCUGGAAUAAUAGUUCUCUUUGGGAAAACAGCAUCCCUGUGCUUUGCUUCCCUCACUAGUGAAUGCUGCAGAGGGAAUUAUAACUCUACCACUGCACAUGAGAAAAUCAGACACUGUGCUGAUUUGUGUAGUAUUAAAUUUGGGCUUUGCAAUUCAUUUUCCCAAGGUCCAGCAGGGAUCACUCAGCAGGCAAUAGGUGCUGUCUCUGUCCUGGGAGACAAGAUAGGAAAUGUGAAUUCCUGAGAGCACAAACCCAGUGAAGAGCUGGCAAAAUGUACUUGCAGCCCAGCUACAGGGCAGCCAACAGCCCUUGGAGCUCCUUGUCCCGGGGAGUUAGAGCCCUUUGCUUUUCCUGCUUGGUCUCUGCCAGCAGUGGGAACUCCUCGAUGCCAUUCCCCAGAGCAAUGGGGAACCUGUCAGCUCACAAUCCCAGUACCAUGGCCUUCACAUCCAGAGAGACACUCUCCCACCCUCCCUCCCUUCCUGGUCCCUAAAAUGUCUCUAUCUCAAGGAAAAGCUUUUUAGCACAUCAGCAGUCAUGUUCAAAUUCCAAGGCUAAGCACAGAGCCUGGGAGAGAGAGAGGGGCAAAAAAAAAAAAUCAGGUGCUUCUCAAAAACAAUCAACCUGAUUCACAUGCAGCUCAGCAGCUUUUUUGAUGGCUCAAUUCCAGAUUUCACAGCUAUUCAAUAGUUCUCUUGUGUAGCUGAUCCUUGUCUUAGAAUUCAGCACAACUCAAUCCAUUUUCCCUUUUCUUUCUAUAAACACCCCCCUCCUCCUCUUCCCCUCCCUUCUUUUUCUUGAUUUACAUCUCUAGGGAGAUGGGAAUGUGAGGGAGAAGCUUGUAGCCUUCCUUCCUGGGGGGCCUUGAACUGGUGUCCCCUGUCUCAGGUUCCCAUUGUCCCCUCUGCACAAGCCGCAGCCCCUCUGCACUCCAGCCCUACUCAAUUGGAAUUUAAAUGCUUCAUGAUUGUUGUCUCACAGAAUAGGAAAGUGCUGCAUUAAAGAGUAAAUUACAGCAGACAAGUAACUGCCUUGGGAAGGAGUGUGAAAGGAGAGAUGAGACCAGCACAAUGGCCGUUUGCAAAAGAGGUUUUUUCCAAAGAUGAAACAAUCUUCCUGGUUCGGUCUCCUAAGGAUAAAUAUGAUGUGGACAGCGUAGAUAUGGGGCUUUGUCUGGGAAGAGAAGUGCAGCAUGCUCAGGCCAGAACAGGCCCACGAUGUGCAUCCUGGGCUCAGAUAUGAGCUGUGUCCCAGAGCCAACAGCGUGGCUGGAUCUGGGCCUGACAUCUGGUUUCUUACAUGGGCUCAAUUCGGGCAGUUUAAUGUGGUCCAAAGCACUAAGCAACUUGCAAAGAAAUUAAGAUAAGAAGUUUACUAAUUUCCUUGCUUUUGCUGCUUUCUAAGCACAGGAAAAAUGUUGAGUUUGCUAGUUUGCUCCCACUUAAUGCUGAGACCACCCCAAAGAUCAUCCUCCUUUCCUUAGCCCCUCUGGUGAUGACCAUUUGUUGUUUAAACAAUCUCGUUGUGCCAUUGGGACCCUUUCUCCCUUCCCUGUGCUGUAUCUACCUCAGAUCUGCUUCUGCUUAGUCCAGCCUCCACUUUAGUCACCACUAGGACAGCCACAUCAGGCCCUGAGAUAUUUUUCCAGGUGAGGUCUCUAUGAGAGCAAGAUGCUGAGCUGACUCAGCAUGGAGCUAGCAAUACCCUUAGCAAAGGAUUGUUUUCUUGCCUGAAGGACAAAUUGUGCCCUGCUAGUAAUAGAAAGCAGCCUGUGUCUUCUUAUGAGUUACAAGGGUGCUUGCAACUACAUUGCUCAUUUGUGUAAGAUGGGGUUUCUCCACCAGGAGUGGCAGAAAAGAAAGGCUUUGACACUUGAGGAAAGCACAGGGAACUGUUAAAAUUAUGAUUAGCAUUCAUCCAGAGCAUCUGAGGGAGAAACAAAAAUGAAUUAGUCUCAGUGGCUCAGCCACAGUGCCAAGAUCAGAACAGAGACCAGUCACACAAAAAGGGAGCAAAAUUCAAGUAUUUACCCUUGAGAGAUAUUGAUGACAUCUGUCUCCUUAACAUUUUAGUCACCUUUGCAGAGCCUGUCAUAUUAAUAGAGGAUUCAUGAAUUAAACCAGCCAGGUGGUGUAAAGCAUAGGUCAUAGAAGUCCUAGGAAAAGCAUCAAAAAUGGCAUGUUCACUGAGACAAGAGAAAAAAAGAUCAGGAGAUUUUCUCUCCCCUUUGCUCAACAGCAUAUGCCUUUCAAACUGUUCAUUGAAAUAAGGUGCCACGGACACACAGGAAAAUAAUGCACAAAUAUGAUUAAAAAAUGAAAAAGCCUCAAUGUGCACACACACAGAGGCAAGCAGGCAGGCACACAGUCCUUCCUACUCCAAGAUCAUAGUGUAUGCUUUCCCCCGAGCCGGCUCCGAGUGGCUCCUGUUUAAUUACUCCUCUGGAACCACUGGAGAAAAGGCUGUGCCAACAAUUCUUUUUUUUUUUUCUUCAUUUGAAACUACAUGUGAGAAAUGCCCCUUGGCUCAAUGUUGAAAAUUAAUGUCUCACUGCUGAAAUAUUUUUUCUUACUUUUUUUUCUCUGUUUUUUUAUUUAGUGAUCAUUCUGAAACGAGCUUUUCAGAUGGCCUUCACCAGGACUCUGAUACUUCUUGUCUUUGCAUGUUGUGAACCCCAAUAUUGUGAUAAAAUUGGAAUGAACACAACCUAUUGUUCACAGUGAGAAUAUUCUGUAUUUCACUUAGAAUUGGGUCUACUUUUGGCGUCUACAACCAAGUGCUCUGCAAAGCAUAUCAGGAUUUACCAAAGUCCCACAGAAGUGACAGCAUUUUGUCCUUUUACAUCCAACUCUACAUCACGUGGAGCUCUGCUGGGAGGCCACAGGUGAGGAACCUCCUCCAAGUAUGUGGUGAGCCAUGCUUUUCCAAGAAGACAUGGAUCAGGACAGGAGCCAGCCAGGAGAUGAUCUAGGGAUGUAGUAGGGACAGAUCCAGCAGCCCUCACUUGUACAUGCCCGUCUGGAAAUCAGUGGGAGCUCUGCCUGCAUGGGAAAGAGCUGCAGGACCACGAUCAGGAGUGACUAACAUGAAAUAAGGCUCCCCACUUCGGUCUGGGAGAGGCCAGAAAAACACGGGCCACAACAUGGUGCACAUUUUGCAAGUGACACUUGGUGUUAGCCAAAAUAUACAUCAGUACCAAGGAGGCGUGUGGUAAAAGGCACAUUCCUUUAACACACUAUUACUGUAAUAUCCCGGUGCCUCCACAUUAAUUUGUUCCCAGGAAAUUCCAUCAUCACUAUUUCGAGCUUGUGGCUGUUCAAGACACUCAGGAUGAUGGGAAAUUACCCUAUUCAGGAAAACAGAAUAAUAAAAGCAGUGAUUAAGUUUGCCUUUAUCCUUAGUCUGCACACCCUUAUCAAUCUCUGGUGAAAUAUUUUUUAGUAUAGAAAGAUUCCAAUUAUGUUCUUAAUAAACUUUGAAAAAUCA
Molecule: long non-coding RNA, 4501 nt
Organism: Passer domesticus (house sparrow)
Lineage: Eukaryota; Metazoa; Chordata; Aves; Passeriformes; Passeridae
Exons: 3
Source: RefSeq, a predicted model, not a curated record